UAGAAUAUAUUGCCAUUCUUGCCAACCCCAAUAACUUCAGAAAUGCUAGGUAGGAUUCCAGUUCUAAAAAGUCUCGUCAAUGACUCUGCUACACCCAAUUCACCCAAAAUUGAUAUCAGAUAACCACCAUAAUUGUCCAUCUCCAUCAGAGCAAUGGACUCUUUCAACACCACUAAAUGUUCUACAAAAGAGCCAUCAUCAGCAUGAAUCAAGGGUGUCCUAAUAAAGGUCUCAUCAC
This 238-nucleotide long non-coding RNA is filed under the name Trifolium pratense (red clover). RNAcentral describes it as "long non-coding RNA (TPRA_LNC002828)". The record is from RNAcentral. Lineage: Eukaryota; Viridiplantae; Streptophyta; Magnoliopsida; Fabales; Fabaceae.